AUUCUACUCCCUCCGUUGCACGAUACAUGCCUUCUAUUUGUCAAAAUAUAUAUGUAUCUAGACAUGUUUUAGUAUAUAGGCACAUCCAUUUUUGGACAAAUGGAAGUCAAGUAUUUUGGAAUGGAGGGAGUACACA
This is a non-coding RNA of Triticum aestivum (bread wheat), 136 nucleotides long. Lineage: Eukaryota; Viridiplantae; Streptophyta; Magnoliopsida; Poales; Poaceae. The record is from Rfam.